CAGGAUUAGAUACCCUGGUAGUCCACGCUGUAAACGAUGAUAACUCGAUGUUGGCGAUAUACUGUCAGUGUCUAAGAGAAAUCGAUAAGUAUCCCACCUGGGGAGUACGAUCGCAAGGUUGAAACUCAAAGGAAUUGACGGGGGCCCGCACAAGCGGAGGAGCAUGUGGUUUAAUUCGAUGAUACGCGAGGAACCUUACCUGGGCUAGAACGUAAAUUUGAUAUUUAGGAAACUAGAUAGUCUGUUAAAGGAAGAUUUACGAGGUGCUGCAUGGUUGUCGUCAGCUCGUGCCGUGAGGUGUCAGGUUAAGUCCUAUAACGAGCGCAACCCCUACACUUAGUUACCAGCACGUUAUGGUGGGGACUCUAGGUGGACUGCCUGCGUAAGCAGCGAGGAAGGUGGGGAUGACGUCAAAUCAGCACGGCCCUUACGUCCAGGGCGACACACGUGCUACAAUGGCAGGUACAGAGGGCAGCUACAUAGUGAUAUGAUGCUAAUCUCAAAAACCUGUCUCAGUUCGGAUUGGAGUCUGCAACCCGACUCCAUGAAGUUGGAUUCGCUAGUAAUCGCAGAUCAGCCAUGCUGCGGUGAAUACGUUCCCGGGCCUUGUACACACCGCCCGUCAAGCCAUGGGAGUUAAUGGUGCCUGAAGCACGUACCUGUGAGGGGCGUUCUAGGGCAAAAUUAGUGACUGGGGCUAAGUCGUAACAAGGUAACCGUA
Molecule: ribosomal RNA, 721 nt
Filed under: uncultured bacterium
Lineage: Bacteria
Description: bacterial SSU rRNA
Rfam family: Bacterial small subunit ribosomal RNA
Source: RNAcentral